This 104-nucleotide ribosomal RNA is filed under the name Listeria monocytogenes. RNAcentral describes it as "partial 23S ribosomal RNA". It matches the Rfam family "Bacterial large subunit ribosomal RNA", at positions 1 to 96 of the family's 2925-position model. Lineage: Bacteria; Bacillati; Bacillota; Bacilli; Caryophanales; Listeriaceae. The record is from RNAcentral.
AGUAAAUUGGUUAAGUUAGAAAGGGCGCACGGUGGAUGCCUUGGCACUAGGAGCCGAAGAAGGACGGGACUAACACCGAUAUGCUUUGGGGAGCUGUAAGUAAG